RNAcentral lists this ribosomal RNA (497 nucleotides) under uncultured bacterium. RNAcentral's name for it is "partial 16S ribosomal RNA". It matches the Rfam family "Bacterial small subunit ribosomal RNA", at positions 28 to 507 of the family's 1533-position model. The record is from RNAcentral.
GAUGAACGCUGGCGGCGUGCCUAAUACAUGCAAGUCGAGCGACCAGACGAUGAGCUUGCUCCUCUGACGUUAGCGGCGGACGGGUGAGUAACACGUGGAUCACCUACCUCUAUUACUUGGAUAACUUCGUGAAACCGGUUCUAAUACCACAUAAUAUAUUGUACCGCAUGGUUCAAUAGUUCAAGACGGUUUUGCUGUCACUUAUAGAUGGAUCCGCGCUGCAUUAGCUAGUUGGUAAGGUAACGGCUUACCAAGGCAACGAUGCGUAGCCGAUCUGAGAGGGUGAUCGGCCACACUGGAACUGAGACACGGUCCAGACUCCUACGGGAGGCAGCAGUAGGGAAUAUUGGGCAAAGGGCGAAAGCCUGACGGAGCAACGCCGCGUGAGUGAAGAAGGUCUUCGGAUCGUAAAACCCUGUUAUUAGGGAAGAAAAAAUGUGGAAGAAAAUAUGCACGUCUUGACGGUACCUAAUCAGAAAGCAACGGCUAACUACGUG